RNAcentral lists this ribosomal RNA (301 nucleotides) under uncultured bacterium. Its description in RNAcentral is "partial 16S ribosomal RNA". It matches the Rfam family "Bacterial small subunit ribosomal RNA", at positions 509 to 807 of the family's 1533-position model. The record is from RNAcentral.
CAGCCGCCGCGGGAAUACGUAGGGUGCGAGCGUUAAUCGGAAUUACUGGGCGUAAAGCGUGCGCAGGCGGUUGUGUAAGACAGGUGUGAAAUCCCCGGGCUUAACCUGGGAACUGCGCUUGUGACUGCACAGCUAGAGUAUGGCAGAGGGGGGUGGAAUUCCACGUGUAGCAGAGAAAUGCGUAGAGAUGUGGAGGAACACCGAUGGCGAAGGCAGCCCCCUGGGCCAAUACUGACGCUCAUGCACGAAAGCGUGGGGAGCAAACAGGAUUAGAUACCCGAGUAGUCCCUGUCUCUUAUAC